RNAcentral lists this transfer-messenger RNA (356 nucleotides) under Deltaproteobacteria bacterium. It matches the Rfam family "transfer-messenger RNA". From Rfam's summary of the family: Bacterial tmRNA, also known as 10Sa RNA or SsrA, is named for its dual tRNA and mRNA-like properties. Lineage: Bacteria; Pseudomonadati; Myxococcota; Myxococcia. The record is from RNAcentral. RNAcentral also lists the same sequence under 1 other name.
GGGGGCGAAACGGUUUCGACGGGGAUAGUUGAAGCUUAGAUUGCAUACCGAGGUUCCGACUGCUCGUUAAACGGUUGGACGAAACACAAACGCAGACGAUUACGCGUAUGCUCUAGCCGCAUAAAUGGCUAGCGUCUUCCCAUUCUUUGCCUGCGAGAUUGGACGAAGACGUCGACUAGCGGGCUAGCCGAUCCGUUGAACCUGUGAAACGGUGAGGCGAAAACUAACACAGGUUAGUCUUUGGGCGGGCUUGCUCGGUUGCGACCCCGAAGGCGAAAUUCUGAUACUGAGCUAUGUAUGUAGAUGUCUAAGUGGAAUAUUUUCGGACGCGGGUUCGACUCCCGCCGCCUCCACCA